This 211-nucleotide long non-coding RNA is filed under the name Lathyrus oleraceus (garden pea). Its description in RNAcentral is "Pisum sativum (pea) long non-coding RNA (PSAT_LNC003067)". Lineage: Eukaryota; Viridiplantae; Streptophyta; Magnoliopsida; Fabales; Fabaceae. The record is from RNAcentral.
AUUCUUUCAACUCUUGAGUAUUCUGAUUGUUAGUUGUACUCAGUAAAGGGUUAGAUACUUGUCUCCCUCUAAGCACUAGCGAUUAAACUUGCCAAAUCAUUUCACAAAUCAAACUUCUUUUACAUGAAAAAGAGUGGUUAGGAUGCCACUAUCCUCUCACCUCCCAAGUAUUCAGAUUAUUGACCGUACAUAGCCAAGGGUCGGAUACUUG